GUUAGGAAUAUUGGACAAUGGGCGCAAGCCUGAUCCAGCCAUGCCGCGUGAACGAUGAAGGCCUUCGGGUUGUAAAGUUCUUUAGCCGAUGAUUAUAAUGACUGUAGUCGGAAAAUAAGCCCCGGCUAACUUCGUGCCAGCAGCCGCGGUAAUACGAAGGGGGCGAGCGUUAUUCGGAAUCACUGGGCGUAAAGCGUGCGUAGGCGGUCUCGUAAGUUAGGAGUGAAAGCCCAGGGCUCAACCUUGGAAUUGCUCUUAAUACUGCAAGGCUAGAAUCUAGGGUAGGAUAGAGGAAUAUGCAGUGUAGCAGUGAAAUGCGUAGAUAUUGGAAGGAACACCAGAGGCGGAAGCGGCUAUCUGGACGAGUAUUGACGCUGAGGCACGAAAGCGUGGGGAUCAAACAGGAUUAGAAACCCCAGUAGUCC
Molecule: ribosomal RNA, 425 nt
Filed under: uncultured bacterium
Lineage: Bacteria
Description: partial 16S ribosomal RNA
Rfam family: Bacterial small subunit ribosomal RNA
Source: RNAcentral